GAACCUGGAAGAGAGAGGAAUUAAUUAAGAUAAGAACACAAUUAAAUUAAAACAAUUCUUGAUAAUUUUUAUUCAAUUAAUUAGGAUUCACAAACUAGUUACAGGUUACAACAUUAAACAAAUAACAUUACUGAUAUUUAUAUAUAUGAACACUAAAGACACAGGAAAUUAACAGCAGCAGCAGCAGUAGAAGAAGAGGAAGAAGAAGAAGAAGAAGAAUUUUAUUAACUUUAAUGAAUAAUUAAUUAGGCUGGUAAAUUUGGCGGUCAGAUUCAGAAAAAAGAGUUGCAUGAAAAUGAGCUAUAAAAGCAGAGGUUUUGAUAGUAAUUCGAGGAUCAGCAACUCCCCAUGGACCUCGUCCAUCUUCAUCACUUCGAAAAGGCCUUGUUGUACUUGGAACGUCGUCGUUGUUAUCCUCUACUCGUCGUGUCCUUCUUGACUUGAAGAUGUUAAAGGCAGCUGCGAAAGAAAGAGAUGAUUUCUUGUUUUGCCGGUUGUUCCCACCCAUAAUGAUAGAUUUUCUUGCUUCUAAUGAUACAGACUAAGUGUACUUCUUUUCUUUGUUUCUUGAAUGUGGGUUAAUGAGUUUGGUUGAUGUCAGAAGGAGAGGGUUUGGUGGGUUUAUAUAGGCGAAGGGUAUUGGGCAAAAUAAUUAGAAAGUGGAGGGAAUCUUGAUUCUCAGGGAAGUUGGAUGGUGAAGACGAAAUAUAUGCAAGGCAAGGGCCAAGAAAUAACUAGUAGUGUGUUGGUAAAACUUUUGGCAAGGACACAUGUAUUGUUGUCCGCAACUUUGGACAUUGACCCUUUCAAGCUUUUUUUUUUUUUUUUUUUUUUUUUUGGGGUCUUCUCUACUUUUUUUGGCUCAACUCUUCCAUGAACUAGCAUCUUUUUGAUUUUCUUGGCACCUCUACUUUUAGUUUAGUAGUAUUGCUAUUGCUAUUGGAAUGUAAUGGUUGUAUUCAUUGCCUAAUUCCUGGACACUUCUUGCCAUUUUUUCUUCUCUUAAUUUCCAAGAAAUGGUUCACCCUUCUUCUUCUUCACAGAAUAAUUUUCCAUUCUUUAUACAUCAAAAAUUCUUAAAAGCUUAAUUAACGGUUCAAAUUUCAUUUCUGAUUUCUUGCAUCAUAAGAUAGACGCUCCUUUACAUUUUAUUUAUUGUCAAUUGAUUUAUAAUUCUAGUAAACUUUUAUCCGUCAAAUAUCAUAUUUCUUGUAGCACCCAUAUCAUAUAAGAUUAAACUUAAAAUUUCUACUAUCAUGAGUGAAAUUUGAAUUCAUAAUUUGUGGAAAUGAUCAUAAAUCGCUUGCCAUUAAACCAGACUUGUUUGUUGGUUUUUCUCAAAUUAGUGAAAACGGAGCGUUAAUGUGCGGGUUUUUAAUUUUAUUAGCUAAUAUUAGAGUUCGUAGAAUAUAAUAUAUAUGCAUAUACACAUGAGAAAUUAAAAUAAUUUGGAAAAAUAAUGUCACUUAUGAGUAGAUAAUAUUUUUUAUAACUCAAUUACUAUACAUCUAGAAUUAAUUUAUGCUUAAUCCUUAAACACUCUAUGAAUAAUUUAAAUGCUAAAAAUAUCAUAAUUAAGUAACUUUUAGCAUUUUGACAAGCUAAAUGCUAAUUUUUAUAGUAUUCUGUAACAUAAUAUUUGAAUUGGCUUUUAGAGAUUAAUGUAAUGUUUUAUAAAAAGUUAACUCAUGUGACAUUUUAUAAAAAUUAGCAUUUAGCUGGUGAAAACGCUACUUUAACCUUUAAACGUUAGUUCAAACUCUGCGUUACUUAACACUAUAAGAAAUAACAUUUAGUCAAAACACUAAAAAUUACUUAAAAAAUUAUUAUUGAACACAACCUUAAUCACUUUUUGCAUAAAGGAUUAUUAAUUGAUCAAUUAAUUUAUUUAUGAAAAUAAAUAGGGAUUAAGCAGACUAAGAAAGUGCUAACUUCUCAGAAGUGUGUAUUAUUCUUUGUUUGAUUUACAUUAUUAAUUCAAUUUCCGAAAAAAUGAUUAUAGAAUUAUCAACGUGGUACAUGGUAUUUGAAAAAAGAGAGAGCGGAAACAUUUUUUUAGGUAAGAAAAUUGAAAAAAAGAACAAAAUAUUUUAAUUUGUUAGAUAAAUAAUGAAUUGUUAGAAAUUACAUUAUUAGAAAUAACAGCUAAUGUGAUAUAAUUUAUGAAAAAUAUUAACUAAUAUGGCAUGAUUCUCUUAAUCAGGGAACUUAAAACUUAAGGAAGCAAUUUCUAUCAGUGAUUCUGUGAUGCCUAGUGGCUCUGAAAUGAUACAUUCCUCUAUAUAUUACAUCAAUGAAUAUAUAUAUAUAUAUAUAUAUAUAUUUUGAACUGAUACAUCAAUGAAUAUUAGUACUUGAGAACAUAUUAUUCAGUAUAUUUGAAAAAAAAAAAAAACAAUUAACCCUCACCAAUGGUUUUCAUUCAAUUGAUAUGAUAGAUAAAUUGAAAUAAAUACAAUAUUUUAAUUAAUUAUAUAGUUAUUAAAUUUAAAUUAAUUUGAAAAUUGAUCAAGUAUGUAGAUAUGAGAAAGAGUUGUUCUAAUUUCAAUUCUUAACUCUCCUUAUUUUAGCUUUUUCGUUUUUUUUUUUUUUUUGUAUUUUUCUUUAAAUAAAUUAUAGAUUUACAUCCAUUUAGAAUAAAUUCUAGGUUUAUAUCCAUUUAAAAUAUUUUCUAUAUUUUCUUAUUCUUUAUGAGCUGUUUAUAUAGGUUUAAAUUUGAUUCUUGAAAUUAUACUAUAUUUAUUUUUUGAAGGAAUUGAAAUUGAGUAAAAAUUACAAAAAUUCAUGGUUGUAAUUACCUAAUCAGGGGUAAAAAAAAAAAAAAAAAAAAAGAGAGAGAGAAAGAAACGACAAAAAUUAGGACAUUUUCAGAGAGUAGAAGUAAAAGGGUACAGAAAGAUUGAGAAACAAGAGAGGUACCAUGAACAAUAAUUUGUCCUGGAUAAACCACAACCCCUCUUCUUGGAAAUGUGUUGGAUUCCAGAAUAAGAGGAACAAUGUUAUGUCCAAGCAGCAUCUUCCUUAAUAAGAGAACCGUACAUCAAACUUUUUUAGUUCAAAAAACUUUAAUUGAAAUCAACGAAUCAAACAUUUCAACCUGAAUUUGAUUCAUAAAAUAUUUAAAUUAACUCAAUUUCAAUAUAUUUAACUUGGAAUUCGAAUAGUUUGGAUUCCAAUUUCAAGCUCAGUGAAGUUCAAUUUUAAUUAUUAAAAAAUAAUAUUAAAAAUUAAUUUAUGAACUUGAGGGGUUCUAUCUUGAUCAAAACCCGCAAUCAAAUUCUUUUAAACUCUUUUCUUUUUAGUUCUUUUUCUCAUGUUUACCAGCUGGUAAUAGAGUAGCUCAUUUCUUAGCUAAAGAAGCUCUCUUUUCUAGUUAUGAGAAGCUUACACAGAUAAAAGAAGUUCCCUCGUCUUUAAAUGUUCUUGUUCAGACUGAUUCAGCCUCUUUUGAUUUGUAAUAUAUAUCUUCUACAUUUAUCCUAAAAAAAAAAAAAAAUUCCGGCGAGCAAGUUGAGUUUGAGCAGAGAAAGUAUUAAAAAUCGAUAAAUCAAAUAUUAUCUCUGUUUAUAAUAAGAAUAUAUAUAUAUACUUUCACUUUGGUUUUAAAAAUGUAGAUACAAAGAUUCUUCCGUAGUGUACAUAGAUAUUCACUAUUUGUAGCUUCUUUGGAACUGAAAAUGAUACCUCCAAAUGCUAAACUUAGUGAACAAAAAUCUACAUUAGAAAGAAAAACACAAAACAAAACAAAACAAUCAAGAAUAUGAAUGAACCUGGAAGAGAGGAAUUAAUUAAGAUAAGAACACAAUUAAAUUAAAACAAUUCUUGAUAAUUUUUAUUCAAUUAAUUAGGAUUCACAAACUAGUUACAGGUUACAACAUUAAACAAAUAACAUUACUGAUAUUUAUAUAUAUGAACACUAAAGACACAGGAAAUUAACAGCAGCAGCAGCAGCAGCAGAAGAAGAAGAAGAAGAAGAAGAAGAAUUUUAUUAAAUUUAAUGAAUAAUUAAUUAGGCUGGUAAAUUUGGCGGUCCGAUUCAGAAAAACGAGUUGCAUGAAAAUGAGCUAUAAAAGCAGAGGUUUUGGUAUCAAUUCGAGGAUCAGCAACUCUCCAUGGACCUCGUCCAUCUUCAUCACUUGGAAAAACCCUUCUUGUACUUGGAACGUCGUCGUUGUUAUCCUCCACUCGUCGUGUCCUUCUUGACUUGAAGAUGUUAAAGGCAGCUGCGAAAGAAAGAGAUGAUUUCUUGUUUUGCCGGUUGUUCCCACCCAUAAUGAUAGAUUUUCUUGCUUCUAAUGAUACAGACUAAGUGUACUUCUUUUCUUUGUUUCUUGAAUGUGGGUUAAUGAGUUUGGUUGAUAUGAGAAGGAGAGGGUUUAGUGGACUUAUAUAGGAGAAGGCUAUUGGGCAAAAUAAUUAGAAAGUGGAGGGAAUCUUGAUUCUCAGGGAAGUUGGAUGGUGAAGAUGAAAUAUG
Molecule: long non-coding RNA, 4474 nt
Filed under: Jatropha curcas
Lineage: Eukaryota; Viridiplantae; Streptophyta; Magnoliopsida; Malpighiales; Euphorbiaceae
Description: long non-coding RNA (JCUR_LNC003090)
Source: RNAcentral